GUGGGGAAUAUUGGGCAAUGGGCGCAAGCCUGACCCAGCAACGCCGCGUGAAGGAAGAAGGCUUUCGGGUUGUAAACUUCUUUUACCAGGGACGAAACAAAUGACGGUACCUGGUGAAUAAGCCACGGCUAACUACGUGCCAGCAGCCGCGGUAAUACGUAGGUGGCGAGCGUUAUCCGGAUUUAUUGGGUGUAAAGGGCGUGUAGGCGGGACAGCAAGUCAGAUGUGAAAACCAGAGGCUCAACCUCUGGCCUGCAUUUGAAACUGUUGUUCUUGAGUGUCGGAGAGGUAAUCGGAAUUCCGUGUGUAGCGGUGAAAUGCGUAGAUAUACGGAGGAACACCAGUGGCGAAGGCGGAUUACUGGACGAUAACUGACGCUGAGGUUCGAAAGCGUGGGUAGCAAACAGGAUUAGAAACCCGUGUAGUCC
Molecule: ribosomal RNA, 428 nt
Filed under: uncultured bacterium
Lineage: Bacteria
Description: partial 16S ribosomal RNA
Rfam family: Bacterial small subunit ribosomal RNA
Source: RNAcentral